GUAGGUGGCAAGCGUUGUCCGGAAUUAUUGGGCGUAAAGCGCGCGCAGGCGGUUCUUUAAGUCUGAUGUGAAAGCCCACGGCUCAACCGUGGAGGGUCAUUGGAAACUGGAGAACUUGAGUACAGAAGAGGAAAGCGGAAUUCCACGUGUAGCGGUGAAAUGCGUAGAGAUGUGGAGGAACACCAGUGGCGAAGGCGGCUUUCUGGUCUGUAACUGACGCUGAGGCGCGAAAGCGUGGGGAGCAAACAGGAUUAGAUACCCUGGUAGUCCACGCCGUUAACGAUGAGUGCUAAGUGUUAGGGGGUUUCCGCCCCCCUUAGUGCUGCAGCUAACGCAUUAAGCACUCCGCCUGGGAGUACGGCCGCAAGGCUG
This 372-nucleotide ribosomal RNA is filed under the name uncultured organism. RNAcentral's name for it is "partial 16S ribosomal RNA". It matches the Rfam family "Bacterial small subunit ribosomal RNA", at positions 527 to 896 of the family's 1533-position model. The record is from RNAcentral.